RNAcentral lists this ribosomal RNA (1775 nucleotides) under Megabalanus californicus. RNAcentral describes it as "eukaryotic LSU rRNA". It matches the Rfam family "Eukaryotic large subunit ribosomal RNA", at positions 44 to 1593 of the family's 3401-position model. RNAcentral also lists the same sequence under 1 other name. The record is from RNAcentral. Lineage: Eukaryota; Metazoa; Arthropoda; Thecostraca; Balanomorpha; Balanidae.
CAUUAAGUGCAGGAAAAGAAACCAAAUGGGAUUCCCAUAGUAACGGCGAGUGAAGUGGGACGAGCUCAGCACCGAAGCCGGCGGCCGAGAGGCCGUCGUGCAAUGUGGUGUUCGGGACGGCUCUGUCCGUGUCCGGCGUCGGUCCAAGUCUCCUGGAAAGGAGUUCCGUGGAGGGUGACAGGCCCGUGCGACCGAUCGCCGCGUUCGCGGACGAGUCUUCCUUCGAGUCGGGUUGCUCGCUAAUGCAGCCCUAAGCAGGUGGUAAGCUCCAUCUAAAGCUAAAUAUAACCACGAGUCCGAUAGUCAACAAGUACAGUGAUGGAAAGUUGAAAAGUACUCUGAAGAGAGAGUCAAAUAGCCCGUGAAGCUGCCAGUAUGGGAUUAAGCGCACGUGUGACGCGUGUCGUCUGACAAAUAGGCGUUCGUCGGCUGUCGCACGGCGCGCGCUCGGCAUCGGAAACGGUGUCGGCGCGCGUCGCUGUUGGGCGGUCGGCGGCACGCCUCCCUUUGUUGGACACAGACAGGUCGGGGCUUCGUUGUCCGGUCUUAUUGCCGGUCGUUAUGACGAGAGCCGUACUCGGCCGGCGCCGUCUUCGGACGUGUGCCGGUGCUCCGCGGAGUGUGCGCCUUGUGCGGCCGCGGCGGGUCUGGUCUCGGUGUGACGCGACCGAUUGGCGAACGACUGGGCGACGGCCAGCGCAAAUCGACAUUUAUGUGUCGGCUCGGCCUUUGCGUCGUCACGUGCGGCCCGUCUUGAAACACGGACCAAGGAGUCUAACAUGUGAGCGAGCGAUUGAGAUAGUCGAAUCUCAAACGCGCAAUGAAAGUGAAGUGUCGUCUGACGGCACGAGCGGAGAUCCGUCGUCACUCGUGGCGGCGGCGCAUCCGCGGGCCACGCCAUCGGCUGGCUUGCUCUUCUGAGCACUGCUGAGGCGUGGACCUAGAGCCCACACGUUGGGACCCGAAAGAUGGUGAACUAUGCCUGGCCAGGAUGAAGCCAGAGGAAACUCUGGUGGAGGUCCGCCGCGAUUCUGACGUGCAAAUCGAUCGUCUGAGCUGGGUAUAGGGGCGAAAGACCAAUCGAACCAUCUAGUAGCUGGUUCCGCCCGAAGUUUCCCUCAGGAUAGCUGGCGCUCGUGUGAUACGGAGUUUCAUCCGGUAAAGCGAAUGAUCAGAGGAGCUGGGCUCCUUGCGAGCUCAACCUAUUCUCAAACUUUCAAUGGGUGAGACGUCUCGCUGGCUUCAGUGCAGCGACGACUCUGAAUCCGAGUGCCCAGUGGGCCACUUUUGGUAAGCAGAACUGGCGAUGCGGGAUGAACCGCAUGUCGAGUUAAGGUGCCUAAGCGGACGCAAAUCAGAUACCAUGAAAGGUGUUGAUUGCUCAGGACAGCAGGACGGUGGCCAUGGAAGUCGGCAUCCGCUAAGGAGUGUGUAACAACUCACCUGCCGAAGCAAUCAGCCCUGAAAAUGGAUGGCGCUAAAGCGUUCCACCGAUACUCGACCGUCGUCGGCAGGCGACGUGCAUGUCACGUCUCAAGCCACGACGAGUAGGGCGGCGCGGCGGUGAGCGUCGAAGGCGUAGCCGUGAGGCUAGCUGGAGCCGCCGUCGGUGCAGAUCUUGGUGGUAGUAGCAAAUACACAAGCAAGAUCCUUGUGGACCGAUGUGGAGAAGGGUUCCGCGCGAACAGUACUUGGACGUGGGUGAGUCGGCCCUAAGCCAACGGGUAAUUCCCGCAUCCCGUGUUUGUCGCAUUUAUCGAAUAACAUGGGUUGAU